UCAAGGGAAACUGCGAGGACUCUUCGGAGAGCGUUCACAGGUGCUGCAUGGUUGUCGUCAGCUCGUGCCGUGAGGUGUUCGGUUAAGUCCGCAAACGAGCGCAACCCUCGGCGUUAGUUACAAGUGUCUAACGCGACUGCCCGUGGCAAACGGGAGGAAGGUGGGGAUGAUGUCAAAUCAGCAUGGCCUUUAUAUCCAGGGCUACACACACGCUACAAUGGCGCAUACAAUGGGUAGCGAGACCGCGAGGUGGAGCCAAUCCUAAAAAGUGCGUCACAGUUCGGAUUGCAGGCUGCAACUCGCCUGCAUGGAGUCGGAGUUGCUAGUAACCGUGUAUCAGCACGGCACGGUGAAUACGUUCCCGGGCCUUGUACACACCGCCCGUCACGUCAUGGGAGUUGGUUACGCCUGAAGUCGGGAAGCUAACCGCAAGGGGGCUACCGCCGAAGGCAGGACUGAUGACUGGGACGAAGUCGUAACAAGGUAGCUGUAGCGGAAGC
This 500-nucleotide ribosomal RNA is filed under the name uncultured bacterium. RNAcentral describes it as "bacterial SSU rRNA". It matches the Rfam family "Bacterial small subunit ribosomal RNA", at positions 997 to 1512 of the family's 1533-position model. The record is from RNAcentral.